AAUAGAUGAGCCUAAGUCGGAUUAGCUAGUUGGUGGGGUAAAGGCCUACCAAGGCGACGAUCUGUAGCGGGUCUGAGAGGAUGAUCCGCCACACUGGGACUGAGACACGGCCCAGACUCCUACGGGAGGCAGCAGUGGGGAAUAUUGGACAAUGGGGGCAACCCUGAUCCAGCCAUGCCGCGUGUGUGAAGAAGGCCUUUUGGUUGUAAAGCACUUUAAGCGAGGAGGAGGCUUACCUGGAUAAUACCUGGGAUAAGUGGACGUUACUCGCAGAAUAAGCACCGGCUAACUCUGUGCCAGCAGCCGCGGUAAUACAGAGGGUGCGAGCGUUAAUCGGAUUUACUGGGCGUAAAGCGUGCGUAGGCGGCUGAUUAAGUCGGAUGUGAAAUCCCUGAGCUUAACUUAGGAAUUGCAUUCGAUACUGGUCAGCUAGAGUAUGGGAGAGGAUGGUAGAAUUCCAGGUGUAGCGGUGAAAUGCGUAGAGAUCUGGAGGAAUACCGAUGGCGAAGGCAGCCAUCUGGCCUAAUACUGACGCUGAGGUACGAAAGCAUGGGGAGCAAACAGGAUUAGAUACCCUGGUAGUCCAUGCCGUAAACGAUGUCUACUAGCCG
Molecule: ribosomal RNA, 611 nt
Filed under: Acinetobacter haemolyticus
Lineage: Bacteria; Pseudomonadati; Pseudomonadota; Gammaproteobacteria; Moraxellales; Moraxellaceae
Description: bacterial SSU rRNA
Rfam family: Bacterial small subunit ribosomal RNA
Source: RNAcentral